GAAAUGAGCUAUAUCUUCCACUGCAAAUUGUACCACCCAGCCUCCCACGAAGCAAGGCCACGGGUGUGCGUGCGGAGACCUUCCCCAGCUGAAGGAAGGGGUAGCUGGAGGAUCUGAGUCCUGAUGGUGCAAACCCCUUUGACCGCAACUUGCUCACCAGCUCACAAGUUUGUAAACCUGCUGCAGACUCCUCACUUCUUAAAUUACCCAUGUGAGAUGAAGCGUGUCCUGAUGUGGUUUCAGCUACAGCAACAGAUAAGGAAAUACAACUAUUUGUUUAAACUCCCGGAGCGGCACAUGGGACCUGUCAUUUGGAGAAAGCACCUCGUUUCCCACGCGUGACCUGUAAUGGAGAAGCUAUCAUGUACCUGCUUUGGCUCCCAGUGGAAGAUGAGGAUAGGUUUCUUCCAAUUAUAUGGUCUCUGUUUGGAUUGCUCCUUGCUAAGAUGACCUUGCAUCAGUCCAGUCAGCAGGAAAUUCCUUGUUCCUUCCCCAAGGUAUCCAUUUAGAGACCUGGACGUCAGCUUAUACUCCCAGCUCACCCUGUCUCCCUUUGCCCCUGGCUGGGCUGAUCCAGGCUGCGUGUGAAGUUUCACUUUUCCCCUGAACUGACUCGAGAAAAAUCAGUUUGCGUUCACCGGGGGGGUCAGAUGCUGAAGGUAGGGGCCUCUUUGAUCCAAAUCCUACGCAGGGAC
Calidris pugnax (ruff) is the source of this 695-nucleotide long non-coding RNA. RefSeq lists it as uncharacterized. The record is from RefSeq and is a predicted model, not a curated record. The transcript has 5 exons. NCBI's taxonomy places the organism in Eukaryota, Metazoa, Chordata, Aves, Charadriiformes, Scolopacidae.